UACGUAGGGUGCAAGCGUUGUCCGGAAUUAUUGGGCGUAAAGAGCUUGUAGGCGGUUUGUCGCGUCUGCUGUGAAAUUUCGGGGCUCAACCCCGAACUUGCAGUGGGUACGGGCAGACUAGAGUGUGGUAGGGGAGAUCGGAAUUCCUGGUGUAGCGGUGAAAUGCGCAGAUAUCAGGAGGAACCCCGGUGGCGAAGGCGGAUCUCUGGGCCAUUACUGACGCUGAGGAGCGAAAGCGUGGGGAGCGAACAGG
RNAcentral lists this ribosomal RNA (253 nucleotides) under uncultured bacterium. Its description in RNAcentral is "partial 16S ribosomal RNA". It matches the Rfam family "Bacterial small subunit ribosomal RNA", at positions 524 to 776 of the family's 1533-position model. The record is from RNAcentral.